GUGGGGAAUAUUGGACAAUGGGCGCAAGCCUGAUCCAGCCAUGCCGCGUGAGUGAUGAAGGCCUUAGGGUUGUAAAGCUCUUUCGCCGACGAAGAUAAUGACGGUAGUCGGAGAAGAAGCCCCGGCUAACUUCGUGCCAGCAGCCGCGGUAAUACGAAGGGGGCUAGCGUUGUUCGGAAUCACUGGGCGUAAAGCGCACGUAGGCGGAUUGUUAAGUCAGGGGUGAAAGCCUGGAGCUCAACUCCAGAACUGCCCUUGAUACUGGCAAUCUCGAGUCCGGAAGAGGUAAGUGGAACUCCGAGUGUAGAGGUGAAAUUCGUAGAUAUUCGGAAGAACACCAGUGGCGAAGGCGGCUUACUGGUCCGGUACUGACGCUGAGGUGCGAAAGCGUGGGGAGCAAACAGG
RNAcentral lists this ribosomal RNA (405 nucleotides) under uncultured bacterium. RNAcentral's name for it is "bacterial SSU rRNA". It matches the Rfam family "Bacterial small subunit ribosomal RNA", at positions 354 to 776 of the family's 1533-position model. The record is from RNAcentral.